CUUUUCCUCUCUUAAACUGGAACUGUUGAUCUUUUCUGAAUAUGGUUGGACAAUGGCUUGUGGUCAGAGUGCUGCUGGAAAUUCAGAGGCUGCUAAAUGCAACACCACUGUUUGGAAUGCAGUGUGAUUUCUGUGCACAGGCACAGCUCCUGUAGUCUGCAGUUCUUGGAUAUCAGAGAGGAAUUGCACGCUCUUCCCCUGUCUGUAUCUUACGUGUGUCUGACAUCAACACCCCCCUGGGAGAGCUAAAAGAAGAGCUGGCGUCUUCCCUCUUGGUUCUAAGAACACCUGGUGGACUUCCUGCUUAAAGGCAAGGGACAAUAUAUCUCUCACUUACUUUCACAAACCCAAACUGAGCUACACACAACAAAAAUGAAGACAUAGAAAAGAAAGAAUACUAGACUUGUGUCAACAUAUUUUUUUUCUUUUUGAAAGAAACCUGUUCAGUUUAAUCCUCAUGAAAGUGGGAAAAAUAAUAACAGUGGGUUAAAGCCAGUGUUUAAGAAAAUACAUUUAAAUAUAUUUUUUUACUUAAAAAUGACUUUCUUCAGCAUUCAAAGACCUAAGAGUUAAACUAUAAUUGUAUACACCUCAUGUAACAAAUUGACAAAAAAUUUAAUAAACCAGACUAUAUAAAAAGCAAGAGGUUGGGUGUUGGUUUUUUGUUGUGGGUUUUUUUUUUUUUUUUUUUUUUUGGUCAGAAAAAUGUAUUUGUGAAUUAGCUGAUCGUAUAAAAAGCAUUAAACUUUUAAAAAAAUGUGUUGUUCUUGUUGUUGUUUUUUCAAGUGUUAAUGGUUUUACCAUUCAUUGUAGCUACAUUCCAAACCCCUGUAACAUCAGGGCAUGUUAUUCUUAUCUGUGUAGCACAGUGAGCUUAAUCUUUACACUGAGGUCACUCUCAUUACUACUUCCCCAGAGCCAUUAUCCUCUGAUGAAUCUUCCUGAGGUCUCAUGCGGUUGAACAGAUGUAACAAUACG
RNAcentral lists this long non-coding RNA (978 nucleotides) under Gallus gallus (chicken). The record is from RNAcentral. Lineage: Eukaryota; Metazoa; Chordata; Aves; Galliformes; Phasianidae.